GACGUAGGGCGCGAGCGUUGUCCGGAUUUAUUGGGCGUAAAGAGCUCGUAGGCGGCUUGUCGCGUCGUCCGUGAAAACCUGCAGCUCAACUGCAGGCUUGCGGUCGAUACGGGCAGGCUGGAGUUCGGUAGGGGAGACUGGAAUUCCUGGUGUAGCGGUGAAAUGCGUAGAUAUCUGGAGGAACACCGGUGGCGAAGGCGGCAUCCUGGACCGGUAUUGACGCUGAUGCGCGAAAGCCAGGGGAGCAAACGGG
Molecule: ribosomal RNA, 253 nt
Filed under: uncultured bacterium
Lineage: Bacteria
Description: partial 16S ribosomal RNA
Rfam family: Bacterial small subunit ribosomal RNA
Source: RNAcentral